UUUCCGUAGGUGAACCUGCGGAAGGAUCAUUACUGAGUGAGGGCCCUCUGGGUCCAACCUCCCACCCGUGUUUAUUGUACCUUGUUGCUUCGGUGAGCCCGCCUCACGGCCGCCGGGGGGCAUCUGCCCCCGGGCCCGCGCUCGCCGAAGACGCCCUUGAACUCUGUCUGAAGUUUGCAGUCUGAGCGAAGACUAAAUAAGUUAAAACUUUCAACAACGGAUCUCUUGGUUCCG
This 234-nucleotide unclassified non-coding RNA is filed under the name plant metagenome. Its description in RNAcentral is "partial contains small subunit ribosomal RNA, internal transcribed spacer 1, and 5.8S ribosomal RNA". The record is from RNAcentral.